RNAcentral lists this ribosomal RNA (1335 nucleotides) under Triticum aestivum (bread wheat). Its description in RNAcentral is "partial small subunit ribosomal RNA". The record is from RNAcentral. Lineage: Eukaryota; Viridiplantae; Streptophyta; Magnoliopsida; Poales; Poaceae.
AUGGCCUCCAUCUCCAUCCCCAUCCCCGACGAGCUCAUGGAGGAGAUCUUCCUCCGCCUGCCCACCCUGAGGGCGCUCGCCCUCGCCUCUGCCACCUGCACCUCGUUCCGUCGCGUCAUCAAAGGCCGCACCUUCCGCCGCCGCUUCAGCGCGCUCCACCGGCCUCCCCUCCUUGGCUUCAUGGACGCGGCCGGAUUCCAGCCCGCCCAGGCGCCGCACCCCUCUGCCCCGCUCACCGGCGCCUUCGGCCGGUGUGCCGUGGAUUUCUCCUUCGUUCCGGCCGUUGUUUCUUCCUCCUCCUGCUACGUCUCGCCCGAUGAGGGAGGCCCCCGCUGGCGCCCCCGCGACGUCCGCGAUGGCCGUGUCCUCCUUGAUUGGAGAUCCCUCCAAGCCCCCGUCCUCAACUACUGGAGCUACCCCGAAGAAGGCUACGAAGUAAGCAUCCUCAUGGAUAGUAGAGAGCACGUUGACUUCUACGACUAUGGUCUCCGCCUUGCGUGGACCAGACGGGAGUGGUGCAACGCCGCUGACUUUCACCUCGCCGUCUGUGACCCGCUGUCGAGAAGAUACGUGCUGCUUCCAACCAUACCUGAGGACCUCGCCGCUCAGCCGCAGGAUCGCCUAUGGGAAUUCGAGCCUGUGCUUGCUCCCAACACCAGUGAUGACGGCGAGGAGGAGCCCUUCAAGGUGAUAUGCAUAGCAAGAUACCGGACAAAGCUCGUCCUCUUUGUCUUCCGGUCCACAACUAUGCAAUGGUGUGUGGUCGAGUCCCCUGUCUUCCCUUCUUUCGACGACAUGUCCUGUUUUGAUUGUGUACGCGGCUGCUUCUACUGGACACAGCCUUGGUGUUGGAGUGACCAUUUGAUGGUGCUGGACACACGCACUCUGAGGUUUUCAACUAUCAAUUUUCUCACUGGCUACCAUCUGCAGCUCACAGAUACUGACCCCAUCUUUGAUAAUCGGCGUCCAAAUGCACUUGUUGUGGGUAGGGAAGGAGCCAUUGAGAUGUUUUCUCUUGUCUGUCAACACGGGACCUUUGCUCUCCACCAUACCUCUCUGCAGAAUAAUUCAGAUGAAUGGGAGCUGAAGAAGAUCAUACAGCUGCCUCGGCAGUAUUAUGACUAUUCUGUUUCCACAGUGGGUGCAGCCCAAGGAUUCUUGUUCUUCCAAUGCGCUCCGGACGGCAUUCACUUAGAGAAUGUGGAUUAUUAUUCAAUGGACGUCAAGACGUAUGAAAUUACCAAAGUUUGUACGAAGAUGGACGACUUCUUAAAUCUCAAACGUGCUCUCCCCUACUUUAGCUUCCCACCGUUGUUAUCGGAACCAACUAUUUGA